Molecule: transfer RNA, 72 nt
Filed under: Camelus bactrianus (Bactrian camel)
Lineage: Eukaryota; Metazoa; Chordata; Mammalia; Artiodactyla; Camelidae
Also listed under: 1 other name
Rfam family: tRNA
About the family: Transfer RNA (tRNA) molecules are approximately 80 nucleotides in length.
Source: Rfam by way of RNAcentral
GAGGGUAUAGUUCAGUGGUAGAGUGUGUGCUUAGCAUGCACGAUGCCCUGGGUUCAGUUUCCAGUGGCUUCU